This is a long non-coding RNA of Maniola jurtina (meadow brown), 355 nucleotides long. RefSeq lists it as uncharacterized. The transcript has 3 exons. The record is from RefSeq and is a predicted model, not a curated record. NCBI's taxonomy places the organism in Eukaryota, Metazoa, Arthropoda, Insecta, Lepidoptera, Nymphalidae.
UACAACGUAAAUUCCAAAUAAGUACAUAAUUUGACUGUUUUUGCUGUAGUUGCCGAACCGACCUCAAGCAUGUGCCAAAAGUAACAUAAAUAAACGGCGACAGUCUUAAAUACAUGUCCAUUAAAAUCGCAACGAGGACACAACGGGAAAUCGUCCAUGUUUUUUGGCCAUCCAUUCAGAAGUCCUGACUUUGGAGGCUUUUGUUUUUCCAUCUUCCUGCAGGUCGUUUUUUUGUCAACGCUACUUAAAUACAGCUUCUGUUUUAAGCGAUCAUGUCCGCAUUGAAUUGAAUGCGUUUUGGAAAAGAAUGUCAGGUUCUCUCGAAGGUUCAGUGCAAAAUGAAUCCUGAGCGAAG